CUGACUCUCGGCUACGACUGAGCUCCACUUUUACUCUCAGUCGGCGGCUGCCUCUAGGUGGCAUCCCGCCAAUAGGCUCGGCGGUCAAAGGUCUCCGCCUUUCCCUAAAAGUAUCGUCAGUUGAUCUCAUACUAAUAAUAUAUACAGGAGGUGCGGGUGGGGGUCCUACACCACCUCCCCUUUUUUCGCAAAAAACGAAGUUUUUCAAAAAAAAAAAUGUU
Long non-coding RNA from Frankliniella occidentalis (western flower thrips), 221 nucleotides. RefSeq lists it as uncharacterized. The record is from RefSeq and is a predicted model, not a curated record. NCBI's taxonomy places the organism in Eukaryota, Metazoa, Arthropoda, Insecta, Thysanoptera, Thripidae. The transcript is spliced from 2 exons.